UGGGGAAUAUUGGACAAUGGGCGAAAGCCUGAUCCAGCCAUGCCGCGUGUGUGAAGAAGGUCUUCGGAUUGUAAAGCACUUUAAGUUGGGAGGAAGGGCAUUAACCUAAUACGUUAGUGUUUUGACGUUACCGACAGAAUAAGCACCGGCUAACUCUGUGCCAGCAGCCGCGGUAAUACAGAGGGUGCAAGCGUUAAUCGGAAUUACUGGGCGUAAAGCGCGCGUAGGUGGUUUGUGAAGUUGGAUGUGAAAGCCCCGGGCUCAACCUGGGAACUGGAUCCAAAACUGGCAAGCUAGAGUACGUUAGAGGGUGGUGGAAUUUCCUGUGUAGCGGUGAAAUGCGUAGAUAUAGGAAGGAACACCAGUGGCGAAGGCGA
Molecule: ribosomal RNA, 377 nt
Filed under: uncultured bacterium
Lineage: Bacteria
Description: partial 16S ribosomal RNA
Rfam family: Bacterial small subunit ribosomal RNA
Source: RNAcentral